This 346-nucleotide long non-coding RNA is filed under the name Homo sapiens (human). RNAcentral describes it as "HSALNT0120215". The record is from RNAcentral. Lineage: Eukaryota; Metazoa; Chordata; Mammalia; Primates; Hominidae.
UAAAACCUCAUUUUAAUGAGACAAUUGACCCUAGGCAUCACAUGAAACUUUUAUUUCCCAACUGUGGAAACAUUCCUGUGGAAAUACAUAUUCAAGUUUAAAACUCGUAAGCUCAAAAGAUCUAGGAUAUGUACUGUAAUGCCUUACUGGUAUCAUCUAACUUAUAAACAAAGAUAAUCCAAUGAGUGUGGGCAUUUCUAUUUCUACUGUAAAGGCAUAUCAAAUAAAGAAAAAAGUCUAAUAAUUGCAUAAAGGAAUAUAAAACUAUUUAUUAACCACUGUUCACCAGUAUUUACAAUAAAGUAAACAAUAUACAGUUGGAUAACAUUUAUGACAGCAGGUCCUA